GGAGGCGUCGCAUAGUGGCCUAGUGCGCGGCCCUGCUAAGGCCGUGAGGGAUCCUGUCCCUCCGUGGGUUCAAAUCCCACCGCCUCCG
RNAcentral lists this transfer RNA (88 nucleotides) under Tongtianella jiaweipingae. Its description in RNAcentral is "Actinomyces sp. zg-332 tRNA-Ser". It matches the Rfam family "tRNA". From Rfam's summary of the family: Transfer RNA (tRNA) molecules are approximately 80 nucleotides in length. Their secondary structure includes four short double-helical elements and three loops (D, anti-codon, and T loops). The record is from RNAcentral. Lineage: Bacteria; Bacillati; Actinomycetota; Actinomycetes; Actinomycetales; Actinomycetaceae.